UUGAAUUAUUAAUUUUAUUUU
RNAcentral lists this non-coding RNA (21 nucleotides) under Caenorhabditis elegans. Lineage: Eukaryota; Metazoa; Nematoda; Chromadorea; Rhabditida; Rhabditidae. The record is from RNAcentral.